UAUGGAGGGGGCUAGCGGUGUUCGGAAUUACUGGGCGUAAAGCGCGCGUAGGCGGGCUGUUAAGUCGGGGGUGAAAUCCCGGGGCUCAACCCCGGAACUGCCUUCGAUACUGGCAGCCUAGAGGAAGGCAGAGGCUAGUGGAAUGGCGAGUGUAGAGGUGAAAUUCGUAGAUAUUCGCCGGAACACCAGUUGCGAAGGCGACUGGCGGGGCCUUUUAUAACUUUGAGGUGCGAAAGCGUGGGGAGCAAACAGG
RNAcentral lists this ribosomal RNA (253 nucleotides) under uncultured bacterium. RNAcentral describes it as "partial 16S ribosomal RNA". It matches the Rfam family "Bacterial small subunit ribosomal RNA", at positions 524 to 776 of the family's 1533-position model. The record is from RNAcentral.